This 468-nucleotide ribosomal RNA is filed under the name uncultured bacterium. RNAcentral describes it as "partial 16S ribosomal RNA". It matches the Rfam family "Bacterial small subunit ribosomal RNA", at positions 28 to 507 of the family's 1533-position model. The record is from RNAcentral.
GAUGAACGCUGGCGGCGUGCUUAACACAUGCAAGUCGAACGGAAAGGCCCAAGCUUGCUUGGGUACUCGAGUGGCGAACGGGUGAGUAACACGUGGGUGAUCUGCCCUGCACUUCGGGAUAAGCCUGGGAAACUGGGUCUAAUACCGGAUAGGACGAUGGUUUGGAUGCCAUUGUGGAAAGUUUUUUCGGUGUGGGAUGAGCUCGCGGCCUAUCAGCUUGUUGGUGGGGUAAUGGCCUACCAAGGCGUCGACGGGUAGCCGGCCUGAGAGGGUGUACGGCCACAUUGGGACUGAGAUACGGCCCAGACUCCUACGGGAGGCAGCAGUGGGGAAUAUUGCACAAUGGGCGCAAGCCUGAUGCAGCGACGCCGCGUGGGGGAUGACGGCCUUCGGGUUGUAAACUCCUUUCACUAGGGACGAAGCGUUUUUGUGACGGUACCUGGAGAAGAAGCACCGGCUAACUACGUG